This 2902-nucleotide ribosomal RNA is filed under the name Escherichia coli HVH 198 (4-3206106). RNAcentral describes it as "bacterial LSU rRNA". It matches the Rfam family "Bacterial large subunit ribosomal RNA". Lineage: Bacteria; Pseudomonadati; Pseudomonadota; Gammaproteobacteria; Enterobacterales; Enterobacteriaceae. The record is from RNAcentral.
UUAAGCGACUAAGCGUACACGGUGGAUGCCCUGGCAGUCAGAGGCGAUGAAGGACGUGCUAAUCUGCGAUAAGCGUCGGUGAGGUGAUAUGAACCGUUAUAACCGGCGAUUUCCGAAUGGGGAAACCCAGUGUGUUUCGACACACUAUCAUUAACUGAAUCCAUAGGUUAAUGAGGCGAACCGGGGGAACUGAAACAUCUAAGUACCCCGAGGAAAAGAAAUCAACCGAGAUUCCCCCAGUAGCGGCGAGCGAACGGGGAGGAGCCCAGAGCCUGAAUCAGUGUGUGUGUUAGUGGAAGCGUCUGGAAAGGCGUGCGAUACAGGGUGACAGCCCCGUACACAAAAAUGCACAUAUUGUGAGCUCGAUGAGUAGGGCGGGACACGUGGUAUCCUGUCUGAAUAUGGGGGGACCAUCCUCCAAGGCUAAAUACUCCUGACUGACCGAUAGUGAACCAGUACCGUGAGGGAAAGGCGAAAAGAACCCCGGCGAGGGGAGUGAAAAAGAACCUGAAACCGUGUACGUACAAGCAGUGGGAGCCUCUUAAUGGGGUGACUGCGUACCUUUUGUAUAAUGGGUCAGCGACUUAUAUUCUGUAGCAAGGUUAACCGAAUAGGGGAGCCGAAGGGAAACCGAGUCUUAACUGGGCGUUAAGUUGCAGGGUAUAGACCCGAAACCCGGUGAUCUAGCCAUGGGCAGGUUGAAGGUUGGGUAACACUAACUGGAGGACCGAACCGACUAAUGUUGAAAAAUUAGCGGAUGACUUGUGGCUGGGGGUGAAAGGCCAAUCAAACCGGGAGAUAGCUGGUUCUCCCCGAAAGCUAUUUAGGUAGCGCCUCGUGAAUUCAUCUCCGGGGGUAGAGCACUGUUUCGGCAAGGGGGUCAUCCCGACUUACCAACCCGAUGCAAACUGCGAAUACCGGAGAAUGUUAUCACGGGAGACACACGGCGGGUGCUAACGUCCGUCGUGAAGAGGGAAACAACCCAGACCGCCAGCUAAGGUCCCAAAGUCAUGGUUAAGUGGGAAACGAUGUGGGAAGGCCCAGACAGCCAGGAUGUUGGCUUAGAAGCAGCCAUCAUUUAAAGAAAGCGUAAUAGCUCACUGGUCGAGUCGGCCUGCGCGGAAGAUGUAACGGGGCUAAACCAUGCACCGAAGCUGCGGCAGCGACACUAUGUGUUGUUGGGUAGGGGAGCGUUCUGUAAGCCUGUGAAGGUGGCCUGUGAGGGUUGCUGGAGGUAUCAGAAGUGCGAAUGCUGACAUAAGUAACGAUAAAGCGGGUGAAAAGCCCGCUCGCCGGAAGACCAAGGGUUCCUGUCCAACGUUAAUCGGGGCAGGGUGAGUCGACCCCUAAGGCGAGGCCGAAAGGCGUAGUCGAUGGGAAACAGGUUAAUAUUCCUGUACUUGGUGUUACUGCGAAGGGGGGACGGAGAAGGCUAUGUUGGCCGGGCGACGGUUGUCCCGGUUUAAGCGUGUAGGCUGGUUUUCCAGGCAAAUCCGGAAAACCAAGGCUGAGGCGUGAUGACGAGGCACUACGGUGCUGAAGCGACAAAUGCCCUGCUUCCAGGAAAAGCCUCUAAGCAUCAGGUAACAUCAAAUCGUACCCCAAACCGACACAGGUGGUCAGGUAGAGAAUACCAAGGCGCUUGAGAGAACUCGGGUGAAGGAACUAGGCAAAAUGGUGCCGUAACUUCGGGAGAAGGCACGCUGAUAUGUAGGUGAAGCGACUUGCUCGUGGAGCUGAAAUCAGUCGAAGAUACCAGCUGGCUGCAACUGUUUAUUAAAAACACAGCACUGUGCAAACACGAAAGUGGACGUAUACGGUGUGACGCCUGCCCGGUGCCGGAAGGUUAAUUGAUGGGGUUAGCGGUAACGCGAAGCUCUUGAUCGAAGCCCCGGUAAACGGCGGCCGUAACUAUAACGGUCCUAAGGUAGCGAAAUUCCUUGUCGGGUAAGUUCCGACCUGCACGAAUGGCGUAAUGAUGGCCAGGCUGUCUCCACCCGAGACUCAGUGAAAUUGAACUCGCUGUGAAGAUGCAGUGUACCCGCGGCAAGACGGAAAGACCCCGUGAACCUUUACUAUAGCUUGACACUGAACAUUGAGCCUUGAUGUGUAGGAUAGGUGGGAGGCUUUGAAGUGUGGACGCCAGUCUGCAUGGAGCCGGCCUUGAAAUACCACCCUUUAAUGUUUGAUGUUCUAACGUUGGCCCGUAAUCCGGGUUGCGGACAGUGUCUGGUGGGUAGUUUGACUGGGGCGGUCUCCUCCUAAAGAGUAACGGAGGAGCACGAAGGUUGGCUAAUCCUGGUCGGACAUCAGGAGGUUAGUGCAAUGGCAUAAGCCAGCUUGACUGCGAGCGUGACGGCGCGAGCAGGUGCGAAAGCAGGUCAUAGUGAUCCGGUGGUUCUGAAUGGAAGGGCCAUCGCUCAACGGAUAAAAGGUACUCCGGGGAUAACAGGCUGAUACCGCCCAAGAGUUCAUAUCGACGGCGGUGUUUGGCACCUCGAUGUCGGCUCAUCACAUCCUGGGGCUGAAGUAGGUCCCAAGGGUAUGGCUGUUCGCCAUUUAAAGUGGUACGCGAGCUGGGUUUAGAACGUCGUGAGACAGUUCGGUCCCUAUCUGCCGUGGGCGCUGGAGAACUGAGGGGGGCUGCUCCUAGUACGAGAGGACCGGAGUGGACGCAUCACUGGUGUUCGGGUUGUCAUGCCAAUGGCACUGCCCGGUAGCUAAAUGCGGAAGAGAUAAGUGCUGAAAGCAUCUAAGCACGAAACUUGCCCCGAGAUGAGUUCUCCCUGAGACUUAGAGUCUCCUGAAGGAACGUUGAAGACGACGACGUUGAUAGGCCGGGUGUGUAAGCGCAGCGAUGCGUUGAGCUAACCGGUACUAAUGAACCGUGAGGCUUAACCUU